CCUACGGGUGGCUGCAGUGGGGAAUAUUGGACAAUGGGCGAAAGCCUGAUCCAGCCAUGCCGCGUGUGUGAAGAAGGCCUUCGGGUUGUAAAGCACUUUCAGUGGGGAAGAAAGCCUUGGGGCUAAUACCCUCGAGGAAGGACAUCACCCACAGAGGAAGCACCGGCUAACUCCGUGCCAGCAGCCGCGGUAAUACGGAGGGUGCGAGCGUUAAUCGGAAUUACUGGGCGUAAAGCGCGCGUAGGCGGUCUGAUAAGCCGGUUGUGAAAGCCCCGGGCUCAACCUGGGAACGGCAUCCGGAACUGUCAGGCUAGAGUGCAGGAGAGGAAGGUAGAAUUCCCGGUGUAGCGGUGAAAUGCGUAGAGAUCGGGAGGAAUACCAGUGGCGAAGGCGGCCUUCUGGACUGACACUGACGCUGAGGUGCGAAAGCGUGGGUAGCAAACAGGAUUAGAUACCCGGGUAGUC
RNAcentral lists this ribosomal RNA (465 nucleotides) under Vreelandella stevensii. RNAcentral describes it as "partial 16S ribosomal RNA". It matches the Rfam family "Bacterial small subunit ribosomal RNA", at positions 338 to 795 of the family's 1533-position model. Lineage: Bacteria; Pseudomonadati; Pseudomonadota; Gammaproteobacteria; Oceanospirillales; Halomonadaceae. The record is from RNAcentral.